Macaca fascicularis (crab-eating macaque) is the source of this 148-nucleotide unclassified non-coding RNA. It matches the Rfam family "Metazoan signal recognition particle RNA". From Rfam's summary of the family: The signal recognition particle (SRP) is a universally conserved ribonucleoprotein. It is involved in the co-translational targeting of proteins to membranes. The record is from Ensembl. NCBI's taxonomy places the organism in Eukaryota, Metazoa, Chordata, Mammalia, Primates, Cercopithecidae.
GCCAGGUGUGGUGGCGCAUGCCUGUAAUCCCAGCUACUUGGGAGGCUGAGGCAGGAGAACUGCUUGAGCCCAGGAGGUGGAGAUUGCAGUGAGCCAAGAUCACGUCACUGCACUCCAGCCUGGGCAACAGAGCGAGACCUUGUCUUAA